Molecule: ribosomal RNA, 244 nt
Filed under: uncultured bacterium
Lineage: Bacteria
Description: partial 16S ribosomal RNA
Rfam family: Bacterial small subunit ribosomal RNA
Source: RNAcentral
UGGCGACCGGCGCACGGGUGAGUAACGCGUAUGCAACCUGCCUGAUACCGGGGUAUAGCCCAUGGAAACGUGGAUUAACACCCCAUAGUACUUUUAUCCUGCAUGGGAUGUGAGUUAAAUGUUCAAGGUAUCGGAUGGGCAUGCGUCCUAUUAGUUAGUUGGCGGGGUAACAGCCCACCAAGACGAUGAUAGGUAGGGGUUCUGAGGGGAAGGUCCCCCACAUUGGAACUGAGACACGGUCCAA